UUUUCCUGAGAAUCGUUAAGGACACCGUAGAAAAUGUGUUUUGCAACUUGGAAAGGUUUAUGAAUAAAAUGGCUAAUAAUAUGCUGAAUUAUCGAUUUCUACAAGUUGUUCGCGUACCAUGUGUGCAUCGUAUGAUCAAGAGCUCAUCAUCUUUUCUUCCAGAAGUAUUAGGAACUCAAUCAGGAUGUUCCAUUGUCAGAUGCAUGCUGAUCAGACUGAAACAUGGAAGUGGCAGGGGAAGCAGGAGAGGACAGCCUAGCAAGAUAGGUAAACAACGUACCCCAGGACCAAGACCUUCAACCACAACAGAGUUAGUGACCGGUGAUGUUGCUGCAAGUGGUAUUGAACGAGCCACUCAUGAGAUUGAUAAUCAGUACUUUGGUGGUAUCCUUGAUCAUCAUCUUUCCGAGGGUGACCUGCAGAGGGUGCCAAAUGGUGAUUCUGUAUCUAAGAUGACACCUGCUGAGGACCUGAAUGAGUUUGACUCGCAAUAUUUUCAAGAACUUGGCAAGAAGGAUGUCAGUCACAAUGACAUUGGUCAUGAGAGAAGUAGGGUACCAACUGCAGUUAGUAAGUCAAGGAAAGCCACACCAGGAAGAACUAUAAGGGGACAUUUUAUGUUUAAUGAAAUUGACUUGAAAUAUUUUGAUGACAUAAGUUCUAGUUUUGUAUAUGAGAAAACAGAGAGGAAUUCAACAAGUGACCCAACUGAUAUUAAUGAAUUUGAUCAGCAGUAUUUUAGAAGAGAACAUGAACAUGAGAGUAAUCGAUCAACUAAGGUGUCAUCGGAAACCCCUAUGCCUGCAAAAAGGUAUAUGGAUACUUCUCUUUCAGAAGAAGAAAUGUACAAACAGCAUUUAUCAAGGCACACACAAAUCAGCCAGGGAGAAGAAGAAGAGUUAGAAAAGAGGAAGAGUAAAUCAUUUAAAGUACAUGAUCGGCCAACGCAGUAUCAAGAUAUUUCAAAGGACGAGUUUGCGGACCAUAGAGAGGUGCAUCUCAUCACCAAUUCGAGCAUAGACGAAGUCCUUCUGGACAGUAUCCCUCCUGAUUUAAAAGGAAAGCUUCUUGCAAACAGGCAAUGGGAGGAGCAGAAGGAAGAGCUAAGGGUCUCCCACCAUAAUGUGGAGGAUCUGGAGGAGAGUGUUGUAUCCGCUCUUAAAGCUGUGAAGAAAAAACGUAACAAGAAACAGAAACAAAGAAGAUCUAGAGAUAUGAAAGUGUUUGGCAGCGAAGACAAGGGUGUUCCAGUAAGUGAGGUCCCCUGCUCAGGUUGCGGUGCUUACUUGCAGUGUCAGGACAACAGCCGCCCAGGAUUUGUGCCUAGUGAAAAAUUCACAGAACUUGACCUUUCAAAACCAGUGAGUAACUCUGUCUGUCAGAGGUGUUGGUACAUCAUUCACCGUCACACGGCAUUGAAUGUGAGUGUUGCUCAGGACAGCUAUUCGGACAUCAUCAAGGCUGUUCGGAAGAACCGUAGUGCCCUUGUGAUCCUGAUGGUUGACCUGCUUGACUUCCCUUGCAGUAUCAUCAAGAACCUCAAAGACCUCAUUGGAUCCAGUCGGCCCAUCAUGAUUGUAGGGAACAAGCUGGAUGUCUUGCCUAAGGAUGAACCGAAGCAGGAGAGGAGGUUGAAAGACCACCUGUUGACUUCAUGUGUGGAGAUGGGAGUCUGUGAUGCAGACAGGGUGAAGCAUGUUGAACUCAUCAGUGCAAAGUCUGGAUAUGGUGUGGAAAAUCUCAUCACUAAAAUCCUGUCCUUGAAACCCAAGAAAGGAGAUGUGUAUCUUCUCGGCACAGCAAAUGUUGGAAAAUCUACCCUAUUCAACCGGUUUCUGGAGUCAGACCUCUGUAAAGCCAAGGCUUCUGCAUUGAUGGGUCGUGCUACCAUAUCCCAGUGGCCUGGUACCACCCUCAAUCUCCUGCGAUUCCCCCUCCUCAACCCAUCCAAGGAAAGAAUGGCCCAGAGGAUGAUCAGGUUGAAGAAGAAUGCAGAGGAGGUGAAGAUAAAGAAGAAAGAGGAAGAGACAGACAGGUUGAGGAGUAAGCUCAAUGAUGAGGACCCUCAGCUCAUGUCAUAUGUGGAAGGUAAUGUUGGGCAGACAUUUAAGCCCAAGUCACAUGAUGAUGAGGAGAACAAAGGAGAAGAAACCUUGCUCCCAGAGGAAGGGGACCCGUUUGGUAUGACCUUGGGUGUUCCAUCUCCUGCGAGAGCUGUAUCCAAGAAGCAGGAAAUCAAAGUGCCAUUCAGUCCCCUGGAGUUUGCAGAAAGCCAAUGGUUUUAUGAUACUCCUGGUGUACUCUAUCAAGAUCAGGUUUUGACAAAGCUGAGCAGUGAGGAGUUGAAGUUGGUUGUCCCUAAGAAAUGUAUUCAACCUCGUUCUUUGGUUCUUAAACCUGGUCAGACAUUCUUCCUAGGGGGUCUAGGAAGGCUAGACUAUCUGCAGGGAAAAGAAUCAGCCUUUUUCACUGUCUUCUCGAGCCAGGCGCUUCCCAUUAAGGUCGUAGACACACAAGAUGCUGAUGCUGUAUAUGCAGAGAAAGCUGGUUUCAAAACAUUUGUGGUUCCUAUUGGAGGUCGCGAGCGCAUGGAGAAUUUUCCAUCAUUGGUUCCAACAGACUUCACACUCACGGGGAUUGGACGACACAUGAGUGUGGCUGACAUCCUAUUCUCUUCAGCAGGAUGGGCAGCAGUCACUUGUAAUCAAGGAAUGGCAGUUCAUCUUCGUGCCUUUACCCCUGGUGGCCUGGGGUGCAUCCUAAGGACACCUGCUCUCCUACCCUAUGGCUUCUCUUUGAAAGGGACGAGAAGAUCCAAAAAUUCUCCAUUCUAUAACGUCAACAAGCAGAAACUAUUAAUGUACAUGAGAUGAUAGAACCGGAUUCUCUCUGUUAUUACUUUUAAUUUGAGAUGUGCAAUGAUGUCAAUGGGUUCUGCUUCCUAGAAUGUCAUCAAGCAGGACUAUCAGUGGACAUAAGAUGUUGGCACCUCGUAGCUAACGUCUUCCUGAUCUGACUAGAACACCUUAUCAAGUACAAGGAUGACACAUCCUAUGUGGCAUUUCUUCAAGAGUUGAAAGACUGUCUAAGGCAGCCCCCUUGUGAAAUGUAAACAUGUAGAAGCUUUCCACAUGCAUGAUAAGGUGACACCCACUCCCUCCUUAACUUCUUAUUCUGUCUCCACUUCAUAUACCAAGGAUCAAAAUCUCUUCAUAUACAUCAGAUGCUAAAGCCUGCUCUAACUUUUACAAGUUAUCCUUGAGAGAAAAUAAUUGUUUUAUGAGUAUCUUCCUGCAAGUCCUGCAUAACAUGUCCCCUCCAUUAUAAUGCCUUGGAAGAAGAAAAAGUGUGCCAUUAAACAAAAGUUCUUGUGAUGACUCGACUGGGAAUUGAACCCAUGACCUCCCAUUCAUGAGGUGGUCACACUACCAGGGAGCCAUCAUGACUGGUAAAAGAUUGUAUGAAGACAAGCUGUUCGUGUACAGUAGAUGAAGGAAAUCCCUCUUUUUGGAAGAAUGCAUUCAAGCAACAUUGAUGAAAGAAUUGCAUAUCUCAACUGAGCUGAGGUAAAGCAAAUUUGGCAUUCUUUCUCACAUGUACUCUCUCUCCUACCCUCGCCCAUCUGUAUAUUCCGCCAUUUUUUUUCUAAUUUUCAGUGACUCUUUCUAUCUCUCUCCUGUUUUUUUUUUGGAAUUGAUUUAUUUUCUUAUCAGCUCCAUUGCAAAUAUAGAUACAAUUUUGCCAACACAAAAUUUAAAAGAGAUGCAGAGAGGGAGAGAGAGAGCAGGAGGAAGGAAGGGAGAGACAGACAGAAGACAAAAAACAACCGUUUCAUAUAGUUACACAGUUUGAAUUAAACUUAUACUUGUCUCUUGCUUGUUUCUUUUUUUUUUAUUUAUAACAGCCUACCCAUUAAAAUGACAACUGCUUUUUGGAGAUUGGCACAGAUUUCUACGCACUUCCCCAAAACAUGAGAACUUAAGAAUGCACAAAGUGAAAAAGGAAUACCUACGUUUGUUAUUGAUAUUACCCCCAUUGAUGUAGAUGAUCUGAAAUGAGACUUUAUAUUCUCAUAAUACUUAUGAUGCAUACUUUAUUAUGCAGUCUAUUUUCCGAUUGCUAUAAAUGAAGAAUUGAAUAAGCAUUUUGAUCGUUUCUGUGUUAAAAUUGUAUUCAAUUGUUCAUUCCUCACACUUUUCUUAAAGCAAAACGAUGAAGAUUUCUUAAAGAUGGAAUUCAGUAUUCUAUUUUAAUGAUGAAACUACAGGUUAGAAAUAUAACAUUUUCUUAGGACC
RNAcentral lists this unclassified non-coding RNA (4295 nucleotides) under Lytechinus variegatus (green sea urchin). RNAcentral's name for it is "nitric oxide-associated protein 1-like, transcript variant X2". Lineage: Eukaryota; Metazoa; Echinodermata; Echinoidea; Temnopleuroida; Toxopneustidae. The record is from RNAcentral.